This 301-nucleotide ribosomal RNA is filed under the name uncultured bacterium. RNAcentral's name for it is "partial 16S ribosomal RNA". It matches the Rfam family "Bacterial small subunit ribosomal RNA", at positions 509 to 807 of the family's 1533-position model. The record is from RNAcentral.
CAGUAGCCGCGGGAAAACGUAGGUGGCAAGCGUUGUCCGGAAUUAUUGGGCGUAAAGCGCGCGCAGGUGGUUUAAUAAGUCUGAUGUGAAAGCCCACGGCUCAACCGUGGAGGGUCAUUGGAAACUGUUAAACUUGAGUGCAGGAGAGAAAUGUGGAAUUCCUAGUGUAGCGGUGAAAUGCGUAGAGAUUAGGAGGAACACCAGUGGCGAAGGCGGCCUUUUGGCCUGUAACUGACACUGAGGCGCGAAAGCGUGGGGAGCAAACAGGAUUAGAUACCCCAGUAGUCCCUGUCUCUUAUAC